CGGCGGCCGUAACUAUAACGGUCCUAAGGUAGCGAAAUUCCUUGUCGGGUAAGUUCCGACCCGCACGAAAGGCGUAACGAUUUGGGCACUGUCUCAACGAGAGACUCGGUGAAAUCAUAGUACCUGUGAAGAUGCAGGUUACCCGCGACAGGACGGAAAGACCCCGUGGAGCUUUACUGUAGCCUGAUAUUGAAAUUCGGCACAGCUUGUACAGGAUAGGUAGGAGCCUUUGAAACGUGAGCGCUAGCUUACGUGGAGGCGUUGGUGGGAUACUACCCUAGCUGUGUUGGCUUUCUAACCCGCACCACUUAUCGUGGUGGGAGACAGUGUCAGGCGGGCAGUUUGACUGGGGCGGUCGCCUCCUAAAAGGUAACGGAGGCGCUCAAAGGUUCCCUCAGAAUGGUUGGAAAUCAUUCAUAGAGUGUAAAGGCAUAAGGGAGCUUGACUGCGAGACCUACAAGUCGAGCAGGGUCGAAAGACGGACUUAGUGAUCCGGUGGUUCCGCAUGGAAGGGCCAUCGCUCAACGGAUAAAAGCUACCCCGGGGAUAACAGGCUUAUCUCCCCCAAGAGUUCACAUCGACGGGGAGGUUUGGCACCUCGAUGUCGGCUCAUCGCAUCCUGGGGCUGUAGUCGGUCCCAAGGGUUGGGCUGUUCGCCCAUUAAAGCGGUACGCGAGCUGGGUUCAGAACGUCGUGAGACAGUUCGGUCCCUAUCCGUCGUGGGCGUAGGAAGUUUGAGAGGCGUUGUCCUUAGUACGAGAGGACCGGGAUGAACGGACCGCUGGUGCAUCUGUUAGGCUGCCAAGCCUAUAGCAGAGUAGCCAAGUCUGGAACUGAUAAACGCUGAAGGCAUCUAAGCGUGAAACAGACCUCAAGAUAAGACUUCCCAUCCGAAAGGAGUAAGACCCCUUGUAGACUACGAGGUAGAUAGGUUGGAGGUGUAAGCAUGGUAACAUGUGUAGCUGACCAAUACUAACGGUUCGAGGGUUUGACCUA
This 996-nucleotide ribosomal RNA is filed under the name human gut metagenome. Its description in RNAcentral is "bacterial LSU rRNA". It matches the Rfam family "Bacterial large subunit ribosomal RNA", at positions 1928 to 2925 of the family's 2925-position model. The record is from RNAcentral.